GAUGAACGCUGGCGGCGUGCCUAAUACAUGCAAGUCGAGCGAACAGACGAGGAGCUUGCUCCUCUGACGUUAGCGGCGGACGGGUGAGUAACACGUGGAUAACCUACCUAUAAGACUGGGAUAACUUCGGGAAACCGGAGCUAAUACCGGAUAAUAUAUUGAACCGCAUGGUUCAAUAGUGAAUGACGGUUUUGCUGUCACUUAUAGAUGGAUCCGCGCCGCAUUAGCUAGUUGGUAAGGUAACGGCUUACCAAGGCAACGAUGCGUAGCCGACCUGAGAGGGUGAUCGGCCACACUGGAACUGAGACACGGUCCAGACUCCUACGGGAGGCAGCAGUAGGGAAUCUUCCGCAAUGGGCGAAAGCCUGACGGAGCAACGCCGCGUGAGUGAUGAAGGUCUUCGGAUCGUAAAGCUCUGUUAUUAGGGAAGAACAGAUGUGUAAGUAACUAUGCACGUCUUGACGGUACCUAAUCAGAAAGCCACGGCUAACUACGUG
This 497-nucleotide ribosomal RNA is filed under the name uncultured bacterium. RNAcentral's name for it is "partial 16S ribosomal RNA". It matches the Rfam family "Bacterial small subunit ribosomal RNA", at positions 28 to 507 of the family's 1533-position model. The record is from RNAcentral.